Molecule: ribosomal RNA, 146 nt
Filed under: uncultured bacterium
Lineage: Bacteria
Description: partial 16S ribosomal RNA
Rfam family: Bacterial small subunit ribosomal RNA
Source: RNAcentral
CUUACGGGAGGCAGCAGUGGGGAAUCUUAGACAAUGGGCGCAAGCCUGAUCUAGCCAUGCCGCGUGAGCGAUGAAGGCCUUAGGGUUGUAAAGCUCUUUCGUGGGGGAAGAUAAUGACGUACCCCAAGAAAAAGGCAAAAAACCCC